RNAcentral lists this small RNA (2964 nucleotides) under Arabidopsis thaliana (thale cress). RNAcentral's name for it is "ATSL091860". The record is from RNAcentral. Lineage: Eukaryota; Viridiplantae; Streptophyta; Magnoliopsida; Brassicales; Brassicaceae.
AUAACAUGUGAAAAAACUAAUUUUAUCAACUUUUUCAAAAAUAAUAAUCUAUUAGAAACAUAUGAUUAUUUAACUAUUUCUAAAUUUUCUUUACUGCUUAGCUUUGUAUGAGAUAUAGAGAACCGGUAUGGAAAACCGAAGAUCGACCGAGAUGACAAGGCUAAGAUAUGAGUCUAGAAAAAUUAUUUUUCAUUCUUAUGUUUUGCCUUCUUUUUUACUUAUUAUUUGCUUGGGACGAGUUGGAAGAUGGAAGUCUAAACUGGCUUAACUCAGGGAUGUGUUUCCUUGCGGUGUUCAAAACAGAAGCAGAUCGCAACUCCAACCAAAACGAGAAAGAAGAAUGUGGCGAUCACACGGUGUGAAAAUAAAAAUGGUAGAGUGAAGACUCAUAUUGUGGAAAAUCGGGUUUAGUGAUGUUGAACAUUGUGGUGUGAGUGUUUAAGUUGUUCUUCUUAAGUAAAUGCAUUUCGAUCAUCUAUAUAGAGUUAGAAGUUCUUAUUAAUAAAAACGUUGCACAUGUUAGUUCGACAGAGUAUCGAUUUGGAGGAUGAAAAAGUUAUUAUGGUAUUUAGAGGAAUUUUGAGAUGAGCAUUGCACCUUCCUUUUAAAAGUGAAAGGGAAAGGCGUAAGAUUUUUGUUGUCUUGAGUUAAUACAAGAAUAGUGGUCCGAUUUACAAUUUUUUUUACUAAAUAAAUACUUGUAUUUUUUUGGGAUUGAGGUUAUCGUUUGAUGGCUGAGAAAAAUGGACGCUUUAAAAUUGGGUUAACUGAAAGUGUUUUCAUUGCUUAGAGCUAUAGCUUUUUUUGGUUAAUGAUGAACAUGGAGCAACUUGUUUACUACUUAACAAAAGGCAUACAUUUGUUCAUUCUAAUGUUUUGCUUUUUUUUUUCCUUAUAUUUUGCUUUUUUUUCCAGAUUAUUGCUCGACGCAUGGACGAGUUUGCUCGCGGUGGUCCAGACAGUAGCACACUGCCGCUACCACCACGAUGAGAAAUGAACAAGUUGCCAUCACACCGAAGAGAACCACUAAGGCGGGAGUGUGAGAGUGAUUUGGUGGAAGUGGAAAAUUUGGUGUCGUUAAGUUAAACAUUUUGUUGGUGAGUUGGUUUUCGUUCUUCUUCGCUCUUCUUCUUCGAUCAUUGUUUAUAUAGAAUAGAGAAGGUUUUGGUUAAUCAAAACCUGCAAUUACAGACUGUUGAAUUGCUAAGAGUGUCAAUUGUAGGUUGAAAAAGUUUUUUUGGUUUUUCUAGUAAGAUUGAGAUAAACCUAUUACCUAGAAUUCAAAAGUGAUAGGGCCGUUAAAAAAAUUCCGAAUUGUUGAUCUUUAUAGGUUUUGAAUUGUUGAUCUUUUAUUAGCAAUUCUGAAUCAUGUCAAGGCCUGCCUCGUUGCCCAAUUCCAAAGAAACUAUCUUUAAUACCCGUUGAAUAUUAAUUCAUAAUUAUGAAAAAUAUUUGAUAUAAAAAUUAUAUCAAAACAUUUGUUUUGUUAAUAACAGGUGAAAAACGUAAAAAUAUCAACUUUUUCCAAAAUAAUAAUCUAUUAGAAACAUAUGAGUAUUUAACUAUUUAUAAAUUUCCUUUAUUGUUUAGCUUUGUAUUGAGAUAUGAAGAAAUGGUAUGGAGAACCAAAGAUCGACCGAGAUGACAGGGCUAAGGUAUGAGUCUUGAAAAAAAUAUUUUUCAUUCUUAUGUUUUGCUUGGUUUUUGCUUAUUAUUUGCUUGGGACGAGUUGGAAGAUGGAAGCGGAGACUGGCUCAACUCAGGGACGUUUUUCCUUGCGGCGCUCAAGACAAAAGCAGACGCAGCUCCAACCAAAACGAGAAACAAGAAUGAGGCGAUCACACACAUGAAAAUAUGAAUGGUAGAGUGAGACUCGGGCUCAUAUUGUGGAAAAUCAGGUUUAGUGAUGUUGAACAUUGUGGUGGUGAGUGUUUAAGUUGUUCUUCUUCAGUAAACGCAUUUCGAUCAUCUAUAUAGAAUAGAGAAGUUUCUUAUUAAUCAACAAGUUGCAGAUGUUAGUUCGACAAAAUAUCAAUUUUACUAAGAGAAGAAUGAGAAACGUUGGAGGUUGAAAAAGUUAUUAUGGUAUUUAGAGGAAAUUUGAGUUGAGCAUAGCACCUUCCCUUCAAAAGUGAAUGGAAAAGGCGUAAGACUUUUGUUGUCUUGAGUUAGUACAAGAAUGGUGGUCGGAUUUACAAUUUUUUUACUAAAUAAAUACUUGUAUUUUUUUGGGAUUGAGAUUAUCGUUUGAUGGCUGAGAAAAAUGGAAGCUUUAAAAUUAGGUUAACUGAAAGUGUUUUCAUUGCUUAGAGCUAUAGCUUUUUUUGGUUAAUGAUGAACAUGGAGCAACUUGUUUACUACUUAACAUAAGGCAUACAUUUGUUCAUUCUUAUGUUUUGCUUUUUUUUUUUCCUUAUGUUUGGCUUUUUUUUUCCAGAUUAUUGCUCGACGCAUGGACGAGUUUGCUCGCGGUGGUCCAGACAGUAGCACACUGCCGCUACCACCACGAUGAGAAAUGAACAAGUUGCCAUCACACCGAAGAGAACCACUAAGGCGGGAGUGUGAGAGUGAUUUGGUGGAAGUGGAAAAUUUGGCGUCGUUAAGUUAAACAUUUUGUUGGUGAGUUGGUUUUCGUUCUUCUUCGCUCUUCUUGUUCGAUCAUUGUUUAUAUAGAAUAGAGAAGGUUUUGGUUAAUCAAAACCUGCAAUUACAAACUGUUGAAUUGUCAAGAGUGUCAAUUGUAGGUUGAAAAUUUUUUUUUGGUUUUUCUAGUAAGUUUGAGAUAAACCUAUUACCUAGAAUUCAAAAGUGAUAGGGCCGUUCAAAAAAUUCCGAAUUGUUGAUCUUUAUAGGUUUUGAAUUGUUGAUCUUUUAUUGGGAAUUCUGAAUCAUGUCAAGGCCCGCCUCGUUGCCCGAUUCCAAAGAAACUGUCUUUAAUACCCGUUGCAUAUUAAUUCAUAAUUA